Long non-coding RNA from Sorghum bicolor (sorghum), 466 nucleotides. RefSeq lists it as uncharacterized. NCBI's taxonomy places the organism in Eukaryota, Viridiplantae, Streptophyta, Magnoliopsida, Poales, Poaceae. The transcript is spliced from 3 exons. The record is from RefSeq and is a predicted model, not a curated record.
GAGCAGCAGUGCUUGGGCCCGUGGUUCCAUGGAGCUGUUCGUCUGCUGCUAUGUGGUAUCUAUUGGCUAAGUUAAUAUUUCUAUUAAAUUGCCUCGUAGUUGGACUAUCUAGGAUCAUGUGAUGCAGGUAUCUAUUGGCUAAGUUAAUAUUUCUAUUAAAUUGCCUCGUAGUUGGACUAUCUAGGAUCAUGUGAUGCAGAGCCCACAGACCUACGGUAUGGAAACAGGCAUGGAGUUGGUGCUAUCUAACGUGGAUGCACAUGGCGGCGUAGGGCAGCAGGGAAGCACCUUGCCUUUCAUGUCGAUUGGCAUUGGGUCAAUGGUGAUAAGUGUAGCUUUACUAACAUGUAUAGAACCUCCUUUAGUAUUUGUUGAUGUUCCACUACACUUGUCAUCAUGUGAAUAUUUUAAACUAGGCAAACAUUAGUGUGUAUGCUACUUAUAAUGUUGUAAUUGUAUUGCAUUU